Molecule: unclassified non-coding RNA, 87 nt
Filed under: Pseudomonas rhodesiae
Lineage: Bacteria; Pseudomonadati; Pseudomonadota; Gammaproteobacteria; Pseudomonadales; Pseudomonadaceae
Source: RNAcentral
GUAGGAGGGGGCUUGCCCCCGAUGGCAGCGGGUCAGUCAGCCCAUUUGUCGCUGACCCAUCGCUAUCGGGGGCAAGCCCCCCUCCCA